UGAACGUCGAUGAUGAAGAGAGUAGUUGUUUGUGGAGGCAAAGCGAGCCGGGGAGAGUGGGAGCCUGGUGCGAAGCAAAUGAUGAACCGCACUUUUGAGAUGCUUUCCUGAAGUCAGUAGGGAGGGCCGGGGAGAGACCCCGUUACCAAUGUCGAGUGGUUUUUGCUGAUGAGCAAAAACAAGCAGAGUGGUACCGCGGGAAUACAAUCGAGCUCCCGUCUCUUUU
RNAcentral lists this non-coding RNA (226 nucleotides) under Bacillus sp. (in: firmicutes). Its description in RNAcentral is "Bacillus sp. T-box sequence". It matches the Rfam family "T-box leader". Rfam says of the family: Uncharged tRNA acts as the effector for transcription antitermination of genes in the T-box leader family. T-boxes are found upstream of many aminoacyl-tRNA synthetase genes and some amino acid biosynthetic genes usually in Gram-positive bacteria. Lineage: Bacteria; Bacillati; Bacillota; Bacilli; Caryophanales; Bacillaceae. The record is from RNAcentral.